ACGGUGUCUUCGGACAUAGUGGCGCACGGGUGCGUAACACGUAUGCAACCUACCUUACAUUGGGGGAUAGCCUUUCGAAAGGGAGAUUAAUACCGCAUAAGACAGUAACUAGGCAUCUAGUAGCUGUUAAAGAUUUAUCGAUGUAAGCUGGGCAUGCGACCAAUUAGCUUGUUGGUGAGGUAAUGGCUCACCAAGGCUAUGAUUGGUAGGGGAACUGAGAGGUCAAUCCCCCACACUGGCACUGAGAUACGGGCCAGACUCCUACGGGAGGCAGCAGUAGGGAAUAUUGGGCAAUGGACGCAAGUCUGACCCAGCCAUGCCGCGUGCAGGAUGAAGGCGUUAUGCGUUGUAAACUGCUUUUAUACAGGAAGAAACGACUCUUGCGAGAGGCAUUGACGGUACUGUAUGAAUAAGCACCGGCUAACUCCGUGCCAGCAGCCGCGGUAAUACGGAGGGUGCAAGCGUUGUCCGGAUUUAUUGGGUUUAAAGGGUGCGCAGGUGGUUUAUUAAGUCAGUGGUGAAAGACGGUCGCUCAACGAUUGCAGUGCCAUUGAAACUGGUAGACUUGAGUAAAGUAGAGGUGGGCGGAAUUGAUAGUGUAGCGGUGAAAUGCAUAGAUAUUAUCAAGAACUCCAAUUGCGUAGGCAGCUCACUUGGCUUUUACUGACACUCAUGCACGAAAGUGUGGGUAUCAAACAGGAUUAGAUACCCUGGUAGUCCACACUGUAAACGAUGAUAACUAGGUGUCGGCCGAAUCUGGUCGGUGCCACAGCGAAAGCGUUAAGUUAUCCACCUGGGGAGUACGCCGGCAACGGUGAAACUCA
RNAcentral lists this ribosomal RNA (824 nucleotides) under uncultured bacterium. RNAcentral's name for it is "SSU rRNA". It matches the Rfam family "Bacterial small subunit ribosomal RNA", at positions 66 to 903 of the family's 1533-position model. The record is from RNAcentral.